This 465-nucleotide ribosomal RNA is filed under the name uncultured Klebsiella sp. RNAcentral's name for it is "bacterial SSU rRNA". It matches the Rfam family "Bacterial small subunit ribosomal RNA", at positions 338 to 795 of the family's 1533-position model. The record is from RNAcentral. Lineage: Bacteria; Pseudomonadati; Pseudomonadota; Gammaproteobacteria; Enterobacterales; Enterobacteriaceae.
CCUACGGGUGGCAGCAGUGGGGAAUAUUGCACAAUGGGCGCAAGCCUGAUGCAGCCAUGCCGCGUGUGUGAAGAAGGCCUUCGGGUUGUAAAGCACUUUCAGCGGGGAGGAAGGCGGUGAGGUUAAUAACCUCAUCGAUUGACGUUACCCGCAGAAGAAGCACCGGCUAACUCCGUGCCAGCAGCCGCGGUAAUACGGAGGGUGCAAGCGUUAAUCGGAAUUACUGGGCGUAAAGCGCACGCAGGCGGUCUGUCAAGUCGGAUGUGAAAUCCCCGGGCUCAACCUGGGAACUGCAUUCGAAACUGGCAGGCUAGAGUCUUGUAGAGGGGGGUAGAACGCCAGGUGUAGCGGUGAAAUGCGUAGAGAUCUGGAGGAAUACCGGUGGCGAAGGCGGCCCCCUGGACAAAGACUGACGCUCAGGUGCAAAAGCGUGGGGAGCAAACAGGAUUAGAUACCCUAGUAGUC